UACGAAGGGGGCUAGCGUUGCUCGGAAUCACUGGGCGUAAAGCGCACGUAGGCGGCUUUUUGAGUCAGGGGUGAAAUCCUGGAGCUCAACUCCAGAACUGCCUUUGAUACUGAGAAGCUUGAGUCCGGGAGAGGUGAGUGGAACUGCGAGUGUAGAGGUGAAAUUCGUAGAUAUUCGCAAGAACACCAGUGGCGAAGGCGGCUCACUGGCCCGGUACUGACGCUGAGGUGCGAAAGCGUGGGGAGCAAACAGG
This 253-nucleotide ribosomal RNA is filed under the name uncultured bacterium. Its description in RNAcentral is "partial 16S ribosomal RNA". It matches the Rfam family "Bacterial small subunit ribosomal RNA", at positions 524 to 776 of the family's 1533-position model. The record is from RNAcentral.